This 468-nucleotide ribosomal RNA is filed under the name uncultured bacterium. RNAcentral describes it as "partial 16S ribosomal RNA". It matches the Rfam family "Bacterial small subunit ribosomal RNA", at positions 28 to 507 of the family's 1533-position model. The record is from RNAcentral.
GAUGAACGCUGGCGGCGUGCUUAACACAUGCAAGUCGAACGGAAAGGCCCAAGCUUGCUUGGGUACUCGAGUGGCGAACGGGUGAGUAACACGUGGGUGAUCUGCCCUGCACUUCGGGAUAAGCCUGGGAAACUGGGUCUAAUACCGGAUAGGACGAUGGUUUGGAUGCCAUUGUGGAAAGUUUUUUCGGUGUGGGAUGAGCUCGCGGCCUAUCAGCUUGUUGGUGGGGUAGUGGCCUACCAAGGCGUCGACGGGUAGCCGGCCUGAGAGGGUGUACGGCCACAUUGGGACUGAGAUACGGCCCAGACUCCUACGGGAGGCAGCAGUGGGGAAUAUUGCACAAUGGGCGCAAGCCUGAUGCAGCGACGCCGCGUGGGGGAUGACGGCCUUCGGGUUGUAAACUCCUUUCGCUAGGGACGAAGCGUUUUUGUGACGGUACCUGGAGAAGAAGCACCGGCUAACUACGUG